UACAGAGGGUGCAAGCGUUAAUCGGAAUUACUGGGCGGAAAGCGUGCGUAGUCGGUUAUCUAAGUCGGAUGUGAAAUCCCCGGGCUCAACCUGGGAAUUGCAUUCGAUACUGGAUAGCUAGAGUUCGGCAGAGGGAAGUGGAAUUUCGGGUGUAGCGGUGAAAUGCGUAGAUAUCCGAAGGAACAUCAGUGGCGAAAGCGACUUCCUGGACCAGAACUGACGAUCAGGCACGAAAGCGUGGGGAGCAAACAGG
RNAcentral lists this ribosomal RNA (253 nucleotides) under uncultured bacterium. Its description in RNAcentral is "partial 16S ribosomal RNA". It matches the Rfam family "Bacterial small subunit ribosomal RNA", at positions 524 to 776 of the family's 1533-position model. The record is from RNAcentral.